GGGGAUGUAAUGGUUUCGACAUGUUACUAGAAGAAUAGAUAGCAAGUAGUGGAUGGUCGCUUUGGCCACUUAAAAAAAGCGAAAAUAAAAAUAAACGCUGAUAAUCAAGAAUUAGCAUUAGCUGCCUAGAUGCAGUUACGCUUAUACCAAUUGCCCCAACCUUUUAGUAUAGGUGUCAUAUUAGUUGGGAAACAAAGCUACUUUUGCUUUUAAGGUAGCAGGUAAUUUAAAAAGCUAUACCAUUAUUUAUCCUGUUUGUCGGAGAAAUAAUGAUGAAUAAAAAAGAUAAACUAAACUUGUAGAAGUCUAUUGGGAAGGUAAUAUGGACAGGAGUUCGACUCUCCUCAUCUCCACCA
This 356-nucleotide transfer-messenger RNA is filed under the name human gut metagenome. It matches the Rfam family "transfer-messenger RNA". From Rfam's summary of the family: Bacterial tmRNA, also known as 10Sa RNA or SsrA, is named for its dual tRNA and mRNA-like properties. Its role is to liberate the mRNA from a stalled ribosome. The record is from RNAcentral.